This 571-nucleotide long non-coding RNA is filed under the name Cavia porcellus (domestic guinea pig). RNAcentral's name for it is "lncRNA (ENSCPOG00000030947.1)". The record is from RNAcentral. Lineage: Eukaryota; Metazoa; Chordata; Mammalia; Rodentia; Caviidae.
CUUGAUUGCUCCUUGUACCUCCCUCGAACCAACACCCCAGUCGCCUUCAUAGUUCAGUGCCCAAAGAGCAGGGUUGUUUUGUUUUGUUUUCCUGUUUGGUGAACUUCUGUAUCCAAAGUUCCUAAAAUAGAGCCUGGCACUUAAUGGGUGUUCAGUAUUUAUUUAACUACCUCUUUGUCUACACUUCAAGUCAGGAUUCAGCCAAUGGGCCUCCCUAGAGCAGGACCGAAGUUUUCUCUACCUGGGAGCUGGACCAGUCACUUCUACGAAACAGAUUGAGGAAUGUGCAGAGGGAAGAGAAGGUGGGGAGCCUGUUACUUCCCACAGCUUGGGUACCUCUGUUUUCCAGGUUGCUGAGGGCCCACUGGUUUACAGCUGAGCCCUGUGUGUGUAUGUGGUGUCUCCCACUGGCUGAACCCAGCAGAAGAGAAUCCAGCACAGAAAGAGAUCAGUGACGAUGAGAGAGGAAGAAUGUAGGGGUCAAAUGGAGAAUAAUUUUGCAGCAUAUUGGGCUACAUUCUGAACAUAGCAUUACCCUCUGCAAAAUGGGGAUGAGAAUACCGACUUGAAA